This 468-nucleotide ribosomal RNA is filed under the name uncultured bacterium. Its description in RNAcentral is "partial 16S ribosomal RNA". It matches the Rfam family "Bacterial small subunit ribosomal RNA", at positions 28 to 507 of the family's 1533-position model. The record is from RNAcentral.
GACGAACGCUGGCGGCGUGCUUAACACAUGCAAGUCGAACGGAAAGGCCCUGCUUUUGUGGGGUGCUCGAGUGGCGAACGGGUGAGUAACACGUGAGUAACCUGCCCUUGACUUUGGGAUAACUUCAGGAAACUGGGGCUAAUACCGGAUAGGAGCUCCUGCUGCAUGGUGGGGGUUGGAAAGUUUCGGCGGUUGGGGAUGGACUCGCGGCUUAUCAGAUUGUUGGUGGGGCAGUGGCUUACCAAGGCUUUGACGGGUAGCCGGCCUGAGAGGGUGACCGGCCACAUUGGGACUGAGAUACGGCCCAGACUCCUACGGGAGGCAGCAGUGGGGAAUAUUGCACAAUGGGCGGAAGCCUGAUGCAGCAACGCCGCGUGCGGGAUGACGGCCUUCGGGUUGUAAACCGCUUUCGCCUGUGACGAAGCGUGAGUGACGGUAAUGGGUAAAGAAGCACCGGCUAACUACGUG